GCAGAUGUGGCCGAGCGGUUAAGGCGAUUGACUAGAAAUCAAUUCCUCUCUGAGGGCGUAGGUUCGAAUCCUACCAUCUGCG
Molecule: transfer RNA, 82 nt
Filed under: Daphnia galeata
Lineage: Eukaryota; Metazoa; Arthropoda; Branchiopoda; Diplostraca; Daphniidae
Rfam family: tRNA
About the family: Transfer RNA (tRNA) molecules are approximately 80 nucleotides in length. Their secondary structure includes four short double-helical elements and three loops (D, anti-codon, and T loops).
Source: Rfam by way of RNAcentral